CCUACGGGAGGCAGCAGUGAGGAAUAUUGGUCAAUGGGCGCGAGCCUGAACCAGCCAAGUAGCGUGAAGGAUGACUGCCCUACGGGUUGUAAACUUCUUUUAUAAAGGAAUAAAGUGAGGCACGUGUGCCUUUUUGUAUGUACUUUAUGAAAAAGCAUCGGCUAACUCCGUGCCAGCAGCCGCGGUAAUACGGAGGAUCCGAGCGUUAUCCGGAUUUAUUGGGUUUAAAGGGAGCGCAGGUGGGUUGUUAAGUCAGUUGUGAAAGUUUGCGGCUCAACCGUAAAAUUGCAGUUGAUACUGGCAGUCUUGAGUACAGUGGAGGUAGGCGGAAUGCGUGGUGUAGCGGUGAAAUGCUGAGAUAUCGCGAAGAACUCCGAUUGCGAAGGCAGCUUGCUAAACUGCCACUGACGUUGAUGCUCGAAAGUGUGGGUAUCAAACAGGAUUAGAUACCCGGGUAGUC
This 460-nucleotide ribosomal RNA is filed under the name uncultured bacterium. RNAcentral describes it as "partial 16S ribosomal RNA". It matches the Rfam family "Bacterial small subunit ribosomal RNA", at positions 338 to 795 of the family's 1533-position model. The record is from RNAcentral.